GCCAGCAGUUUCGGUUAUACGAUCUAGUUUUUUAAAUUUUUUUUUAAGGUCUUUUUUUGCUUUUGGAAAAUUAAGGUGAAAUUUAAUUUGUUAUUGUUUGUGGAUUUUAGUUAAGUUAUUUUUUGGGAAAAGGAUUAGAUACCCUUUUACUUAUUUUUUUGUAGGUAGUAUUUUGAUUUAAGGAAACUUAUUGUAGAUGGCGGUUUAAAGGUUUUACAGAGGGGCUUGAAGAGUAAUAGAUGAUCCUCUUUUGAUUAUUACUUUUUUUUUUAUCUUUUGUAUUUUUGUAAUGUGGAGGCUUAUUGGCUUUUUGCGGGUAAAUUUUAUUUGUUAUUGCAAAUCAAAAUGUAGAUUAUGAAUUAGAUUUUUUUAGCCACAUUGUUUUGGUUUAGUUUGUAUUUUAGUAUUUGUAAGUAAAUUUGGGUUUUUUAUCUUUUUUGAAUUUUUAACUUUUGAUGUACAUAUCGCCCGUCGCUUUUAUUAUGGUAAAAUAAGUCGUAACAAAGUAG
RNAcentral lists this ribosomal RNA (509 nucleotides) under Demodex brevis. RNAcentral describes it as "partial 12S ribosomal RNA". The record is from RNAcentral. Lineage: Eukaryota; Metazoa; Arthropoda; Arachnida; Trombidiformes; Demodicidae.